ACAGUCUUCUUCUGAAGCACUUCUAGGUCGAGAUAAGUAAUUUUAAGAAUUUACAUUUGGCAGAUAAUACUAAACUACGGUUGCAUAGAGAAGGCCUCCAAGCAUGCUGACAUUUCACGCCUGCUUCUGCAGCUGACUACCACAACUGGCACUACUUAGAGAUGUCAAGAUGUUUAGCUUCCAGACUAUUCUGAGUUACAUCCAGAAGACUCAACUAUGUCCGUGAGCUCACGCAGCACUAAAGAUGGUCUCCAUUCCAGGAACUGGGCCCCAUAAGUGAAACGUGUGCUAGCUGAUCUCAAACAAUCUGCUUGCUUACGGCUGCGAAUGAAGAACAACAUGCUUUCAGAUCCAACACAAACCAUGGUGUGCACCAACUCUCUCAAGACUCACCUGCAAGACCCAGAGCCUCGAACUUGGCAGUGGAGCCUCCUGUCAACAUCUGGUCCAAGCCAGGAGAGGAGGUAUAUCUGAAGAAAAGAUAGUACCAUAAAUGUUUCUGUUUGAUCUGCAGCAGGACAGAUCAAACUCACCACCAGGGACUUAAAAGAAUUGGCGAGAAGAGGAAGCCUGAUGACUAAUCAAUAUCAAAUUUGUCAGGAUCUAACCAUUAUUCAGGAGUUACUCCCGAUCUUGAUAAGGCUGUGUGUGUGAAUCAGAAAAUGCCACCCUCCUGAAGGUGGCAAAACUUGAAAUUACAGAGUGUGAAAUCUGCUCGAAUUGACAGGGAACUGACCUAGAAAUCAGGACUGGCGAAAUUCAGCUUUCUGAAAACUUAGCUAUCUGUUCUGAGAUCCUAGAUCAAAUGAAUGAAUUUGAUCACGGGACUGCAAAUCCUCAGCAACUGUAUCAAUGGAUUAAUCCCGUUUGAAACUACAUCAGCAUUUCCCCACUGGACUCCCUCAGAUUUCUUCCAAAGCUUUUAUUCAGAUUAGUGUCCAAGCCUGCUGGAGCAGAACAUGGCAGGUCUUGAGCUUUUCCUAUUUUGUGAGGGAGAGAGAAAAGGAAGAAGUAUUUCUUUAAAUCCUAAAAGGUACUUAAUUUUUUCUCCUGACAGGUUAGAAACAAGAAUAUAGUAUCAUGACUAAUGAGCGAACUAUGUUUCUGUAACAUUUGCAAAGUAUGUACAAUACACAUACAGCUUUUUCACUUUCACAUUCAGCAUAAAAAAUAACACAGAGAGGAAUGAAAACCAAGUCAACGUUUUAACAGCAUGACACGCUGACUCGGUAACAAACCACAUUUACGGUACUGGGAAAACUUCUCCGUGUUCUGGCCAACAAUGAUGCUUCCAAACUGUUUUCAUUUCCACUGAGGAAGUGUUAUUAUUUCCACUUCAGGAACCUUACUGAAGAAAUAGCAGAGAUAUCCCUUUUGGGGUUUGGAGUUUUUCAACAGCAGAAGAAAACUGCGCUAGUAUGAUACCAAUAGAUUUUGACUCCAUUUCUCUUUUAAUCCCUUCCCACGAGGUAUC
This 1474-nucleotide long non-coding RNA is filed under the name Numida meleagris (helmeted guineafowl). RNAcentral's name for it is "lncRNA (ENSNMEG00000004009.1)". Lineage: Eukaryota; Metazoa; Chordata; Aves; Galliformes; Numididae. The record is from RNAcentral.